CCUACGGGAGGCAGCAGUGGGGAAUAUUGCACAAUGGGGGGAACCCUGAUGCAGCGACGCCGCGUGGGUGAAGGAGUAUUUCGGUAUGUAAAGCCCUAUCAGCAGGGAAGAACAAUGACGGUACCUGACUAAGAAGCACCGGCUAAAUACGUGCCAGCAGCCGCGGUAAUACGUAUGGUGCAAGCGUUAUCCGGAUUUACUGGGGGUAAAGGGAGCGCAGGCGGCGCGUUAAGCCUGGUGUGAAAGUCCGCGGCCCAACCGCGGGACUGCAUUGGGAACUGGCGCGCUGGAGUGCCGGAGGGGUAGGCGGAAUUCCUAGUGUAGCGGUGAAAUGCGUAGAUAUUAGGAGGAACACCAGUGGCGAAGGCGGCCUACUGGACGGUGACUGACGCUGAGGAUCGAAAGCGUGGGGAGCAAACAGGAUUAGAUACCCGAGUAGUC
RNAcentral lists this ribosomal RNA (441 nucleotides) under uncultured bacterium. RNAcentral's name for it is "partial 16S ribosomal RNA". It matches the Rfam family "Bacterial small subunit ribosomal RNA", at positions 338 to 795 of the family's 1533-position model. The record is from RNAcentral.